This is a non-coding RNA of Cinara cedri, 251 nucleotides long. The record is from the annotation of a GenBank genome assembly. Lineage: Eukaryota; Metazoa; Arthropoda; Insecta; Hemiptera; Aphididae.
UAUCGAGGGGUAGGUACUGGACAAGAAGACAUGGUUUAAGGAAGGUUGACAGGACGUGGGUCGCGUGUAAAGUAAAUAAUAAAGAUGACGGUGUAGAUAUAGGCAGAAGUGCGAAAGACCUGCAGGAUUAAAGAAAAUGAUGUCAUUUGUUGAAGUUUAAAGCAUUUGAGUCAACAACACAUGAGACACAUUGUAAUAUUUUUAAUGGUAUAUACGAGCCAUGAACGAAUUUUAAAUAGUUCACUACAAUU